GGAGCGUUCUGUAAGCCUGCGAAGGUGUGCUGUGAGGCAUGCUGGAGGUAUCAGAAGUGCGAAUGCUGACAUAAGUAACGAUAAAGCGGGUGAAAAGCCCGCUCGCCGGAAGACCAAGGGUUCCUGUCCAACGUUAAUCGGGGCAGGGUGAGUCGACCCCUAAGGCGAGGCCGAAAGGCGUAGUCGAUGGGAAACAGGUUAAUAUUCCUGUACUUGGUGUUACUGCGAAGGGGGGACGGAGAAGGCUAUGUUGGCCGGGCGACGGUUGUCCCGGUUUAAGCGUGUAGGCUGGUUUUCCAGGCAAAUCCGGAAAAUCAAGGCUGAGGCGUGAUGACGAGGCACUACGGUGCUGAAGCAACAAAUGCCCUGCUUCCAGGAAAAGCCUCUAAGCAUCAGGUAACAUCAAAUCGUACCCCAAACCGACACAGGUGGUCAGGUAGAGAAUACCAAGGCGCUUGAGAGAACUCGGGUGAAGGAACUAGGCAAAAUGGUGCCGUAACUUCGGGAGAAGGCACGCUGAUAUGUAGGUGAAGUCCCUUGCGGAUGGAGCUGAAAUCAGUCGAAGAUACCA
RNAcentral lists this ribosomal RNA (571 nucleotides) under Shigella sonnei. RNAcentral describes it as "partial 23S ribosomal RNA". It matches the Rfam family "Bacterial large subunit ribosomal RNA", at positions 1233 to 1788 of the family's 2925-position model. The record is from RNAcentral. Lineage: Bacteria; Pseudomonadati; Pseudomonadota; Gammaproteobacteria; Enterobacterales; Enterobacteriaceae.